Molecule: long non-coding RNA, 805 nt
Filed under: Salmo salar (Atlantic salmon)
Lineage: Eukaryota; Metazoa; Chordata; Actinopteri; Salmoniformes; Salmonidae
Description: lncRNA (ENSSSAG00000119488.1)
Source: RNAcentral
GCUCUCCAUAGGAGUUCCUGUGCAGAGCCCUGGAUGCGCCCCAGCCCCAGUCAGUGAGUAACGCUGUGUUCCUGUUCCAGGGGAUUGGGGCGUGCUCCUCCCUCAGCCCUCUGGGUUGCCACCCUGCCCAUGAAUGGCAAGAUGCUCAUCUUCGGCACCAUCUCGGGCUGCCUGGAACCAAUUGCAACUAUAGAGGCAGCCAUCUCGGAGAAGCUUCCCUUUGCCACACCCAUGAACCAGAAGGAUCUGAUCACCUGGCCAUCUACAACGCUUACUUGGAGAGGUGGAAGAUCAUACGCAGGUGGAAGAACAUACGCAGUGAGAGAUAUUGAGCCGAGACAACCUACUACAGGAAACACUUCCUGAAUCGCACUGCCCUUAUCACCAUAAAGUACAUCAAACAGGAGCUGAUGAGGAUGAUGGACCAGGUCGUAUUCUCUUCUUCCUCCGAGUCUGGUUGAGGACCAGCUUCCCGGGACCGGUCUGACCCGACGGGGCCCCAGGCUCCCCUCACCCCUUUGGGUAAGGCUCAGAUCUGUGUACUGAACGCGGUGGUGACGGGAGGGCUGUGUGACAGUGUGGGGCGGAUCCUCUACACGCCCUCUGUGGAUGCGCUGGACCGGGUGGCCUGUUCUGUGGAAACCUCCCAGGGGAAGGCCCACGUCCACCCCUCCUCCUUCAACCACUACCUACUCUUCCAGGAGAAGGUCAGUUGGAUAGAGAUAACACUAUCGCUCUUACUCUCUCUGUUUCUUUAUCUCUCUGUAUAUCUAUUAAUAGACCAUCAAUACACUUUUUGUAUCUG